AGGACGAACGCUGGCGGCGUGCUUAACACAUGCAAGUCGAACGGAAAGGCCCUUUCGGGGGUGCUCGAGUGGCGAACGGGUGAGUAACACGUGGGUGAUCUGCCCUGCACUUUGGGAUAAGCCUGGGAAACUGGGUCUAAUACCGAAUACACCUUGCUGGCUGCAUGGCUGGUGGGGGAAAGCUUUUGCGGUGUGGGAUGGGCCCGCGGCCUAUCAGCUUGUUGGUGGGGUGAUGGCCUACCAAGGCGACGACGGGUAGCCGGCCUGAGAGGGUGUCCGGCCACACUGGGACUGAGAUACGGCCCAGACUCCUACGGGAGGCAGCAGUGGGGGAAUAUUGCACAAUGGGCGCAAGCCUGAUGCAGCGACGCCGCGUGAGGGAUGACGGCCUUCGGGUUGUAAACCUCUUUCAGUAUCGACGAAGCGCAAGUGACGGUAGGUACAGAAGAAGCACCGGCCAACUACGUGCCAGCAGCCGCGGU
RNAcentral lists this ribosomal RNA (482 nucleotides) under uncultured bacterium. Its description in RNAcentral is "SSU rRNA". It matches the Rfam family "Bacterial small subunit ribosomal RNA", at positions 26 to 521 of the family's 1533-position model. The record is from RNAcentral.